RNAcentral lists this ribosomal RNA (590 nucleotides) under Microbacterium sp. G-78. RNAcentral's name for it is "bacterial SSU rRNA". It matches the Rfam family "Bacterial small subunit ribosomal RNA", at positions 273 to 873 of the family's 1533-position model. The record is from RNAcentral. Lineage: Bacteria; Bacillati; Actinomycetota; Actinomycetes; Micrococcales; Microbacteriaceae.
GCGUCGACGGGUAGCCGGCCUGAGAGGGUGACCGGCCACACUGGGACUGAGACACGGCCCAGACUCCUACGGGAGGCAGCAGUGGGGAAUAUUGCACAAUGGGCGCAAGCCUGAUGCAGCAACGCCGCGUGAGGGACGACGGCCUUCGGGUUGUAAACCUCUUUUAGCAGGGAAGAAGCGAAAGUGACGGUACCUGCAGAAAAAGCACCGGCUAACUACGUGCCAGCAGCCGCGGUAAUACGUAGGGUGCAAGCGUUAUCCGGAAUUAUUGGGCGUAAAGAGCUCGUAGGCGGUUUGUCGCGUCUGCUGUGAAAACUGGGGGCUCAACCCCCAGCCUGCAGUGGGUACGGCCAGACUAGAGUGCGGUAGGGGAGAUUGGAAUUCCUGGUGUAGCGGUGGAAUGCGCAGAUAUCAGGAGGAACACCGAUGGCGAAGGCAGAUCUCUGGGCCGUAACUGACGCUGAGGAGCGAAAGGGUGGGGAGCAAACAGGCUUAGAUACCCUGGUAGUCCACCCCGUAAACGUUGGGAACUAGUUGUGGGGUCCAUUCCACGGAUUCCGUGACGCAGCUAACGCAUUAAGUUCCCCGCC